CUCAAAUUUAAAAUCUGGCAGUCUCUCUUUUCUUCUUUGGCUGUCCGAGUUGUAAUCUAGAGAAGUGCUUACCCGUGCUGCACCAUGUACAAGUCUCCUGGAAUGGAGCGUCGUAGAGGGUGAGAAUCCCGUCUUUGACAUGGACUUGCCAGUGCAUAGUGGUGCGCUCUCAAAGAGUCGAGUUGUUUGGGAAUGCAGCUCUAAAUGGGUGGUAAACUCCAUCUAAAGCUAAAUAUUGGCGAGAGACCGAUAGCGAACAAGUACCGUGAGGGAAAGAUGAAAAGCACUUUGGAAAGAGAGUUAAACAGUAUGUGAAAUUGUUGAAAGGGAAACACUUGAAGUCAGUUGUGUCUGCUUAGGGAUCAACUCAGCUGAUUUUGCUGCGUGAACUUCCUAGUGUGACAGGCCAACAUCAGUUCUGACUGUUGGAAAAGGGCAGAGGGAAUGUGCCACCUUUGGGUGUGUUUUAUAGCCUUUUGUCAUAUAUAGCAGUCGGGACUGAGGAAUUGCAGCGCGCCGCGAAGGGCAGGGUCUUUUGACCACGUUCGCGCUUAGGAUGUUGGCGUUUAAUGGCUUCAAUUGACCCGUCUUGAAACACGGACCAAGGAGUCUAACAUGCCUGCGAGUGUUUGGGUGAAGAAACCCUUGUGCACAAUGAAAGUGAAAGUUGAGAUCCCUGUCGUGGGGAGCAUCGACGCCCGGACCGGAGCUUUUAGCGAUGGAUCUGCGGUAGAGCAUGCAUGUUGGGACCCGAAAGAUGGUGAACUAUGCCUGAAUAGGGCAAAGCCAGAGGAAAC
This 797-nucleotide ribosomal RNA is filed under the name Amanita sp. RNAcentral describes it as "partial large subunit ribosomal RNA". It matches the Rfam family "Eukaryotic large subunit ribosomal RNA", at positions 108 to 862 of the family's 3401-position model. Lineage: Eukaryota; Fungi; Basidiomycota; Agaricomycetes; Agaricales; Amanitaceae. The record is from RNAcentral.